CUGCUCCGAUAGCAAGAACAUGAGCCAGAGGAAUCUGUAGAUGAUCGUGAUGAUAUCUCCUACCCUUACGUAGAAGAUCUGCCUUACAAUUCUCAUUUGUUGAAAACUAAACCACCGACUGUACUAACAGUUACGAAAGGAGAACUUGAAGCGAUAUUGACAGACUUUCGUAAGCCAAGAACAUCUCAUCGUACGAUCAUCGUAGGCUGGGAGCGAUAACAUUCCACAACAAGAGCUACUGCAGCGCAAGGCCCUCUCCGUCGCUUGUCGCUUGUUUGAAGAGAUAGAAUCGAUAUUACUUUGUAGAGGGCGCCCUUGCCUUUUUUUUGUGUUACUCGAUUCAUCGGAUCAUUUCCUAAACUCGUCUUCUUCAACCGCGGAAGCGUGACAUUUGACCAAACAAACCGAUUGAACAGCAACAACAGUAACAAAAAAACAAAAGCGAAGCCGGAAACAGCAUCGACCACAUGGCCCUCGGAGGGAGGGCUGCAAACAUAUCGAAGAAGCACCCAAAAAAGAAGGUGACGAUGUGCAGACAACACACACGCGCGUGCUGCAUCGGGCAACAGUUGCAACGUGUGGUGAGAGUGUGCCUCCGUCCGACCCCGGUUCCUAACAAAUUUCAAACAGCAAAAGGACGUCGGGCGGGAGGUCAAGAAGGAUGCUACCCAUUAAGAAGUUGUGCAACGAGCCUCACUGCUUCUGAUGUGUGUGUCUAUGUCCAGUUAGCGGCAACAGAGGAGAAAAGGUUUGCCGCGGGUUUGACGGCAGCGGCAGCGGUAGACUCACACUUCCGGUAUUUAAACGAAAAAAGCGUGCGCACACGCGCGCGGCCGAUGAACACACCGGAAAUCGUUUGAACCGUUUGACUCGCCUUCCGGGGGCACUGUUUGACACAUCGGUGAUCCCUGGGGAGGUUGAGGAUGAGUUUGACAUGAAUGUGGGGAGGUAUUGCGUGUGUGAGUGUUACCUUUCGAUGCUUUUGUUUGGUGAGCAUGAGCCUUGAGGCUUCCUCAAAAGACUUUGAAUAUUCAAUAGUGAUUCCUGUUGAUUCUUCAAUCAAAAAUACAUUAUCGUGGUGGAACGAUAAUAAUCUAAGAACUCUGUCCAAGAAAACAUGAACGCGCACCGCGUUGUGUGCAGUUCGUUAGAUAGUCAUCUUUAUGGUCAAUUUGCAGGUUACUUUAUUCUUCUUUCUCUCCCGUUCGUAGAUUCAUAUCCGUAGAGUGUUGUGCACAUUAGAGUGUGUGCAGUGCAGUCCCAUAAAAGUUCACUCUCUGGCCAGGUCAUAAAAAAAACAAAACCCGUCCCAUGGUGUCCGUCGCCCGCGAGCAGCCGAAAGGAAAACAUCUCUCUCUCUCUCUCUUUCCUUGGGACAACCUGUCGAUUAAUGAAGUGGAAAUGGGUACUUUUACCAUUCCUGGUAGUUGGACAGUGUGCGCAACAAAUGGUCGUUUUCUGCAUCCUGCUGAUGGUGGCGCCGUUUCUUUUGGUGUAAGAUGUGUCUCUACGGUUAUAAACGGCAGUGGUUGGCCACAGAAGAAGAAA
This is a long non-coding RNA of Anopheles arabiensis, 1548 nucleotides long. RefSeq lists it as uncharacterized. The transcript is spliced from 4 exons. The record is from RefSeq and is a predicted model, not a curated record. NCBI's taxonomy places the organism in Eukaryota, Metazoa, Arthropoda, Insecta, Diptera, Culicidae.